AACGAACGCUGGCGGCAUGCCUAACACAUGCAAGUCGAACGAGACCUUCGGGUCUAGUGGCGCACGGGUGCGUAACGCGUGGGAACCUGCACUUAGGUUCGGAAUAACUCCACGAAAGGGGUGCUAAUACCGGAUAAUGUCUUCGGACCAAAGAUUUAUCGCCUUUGGAGGGGCCCGCGUUGGAUUAGCUAGUUGGUAGGGUAAAAGCCUACCAAGGCGACGAUCCAUAGCUGGUCUGAGAGGAUGAUCAGCCACACUGGGACUGAGACACGGCCCAGACUCCUACGGGAGGCAGCAGUGGGGAAUAGUGGACAAUGGGCGAAAGCCUGAUCCAGCAAGGCCGCGUGAGUGAUGAAGGCCUUAGGGUUGUAAAGCUCUUUUACCCGGGAUGAUAAUGACAGUACCGGGAGAAUAAGCUCCGGCUAACUCCGUG
RNAcentral lists this ribosomal RNA (433 nucleotides) under uncultured bacterium. Its description in RNAcentral is "partial 16S ribosomal RNA". It matches the Rfam family "Bacterial small subunit ribosomal RNA", at positions 29 to 507 of the family's 1533-position model. The record is from RNAcentral.